Musa acuminata AAA Group (dessert banana) is the source of this 490-nucleotide long non-coding RNA. RefSeq lists it as uncharacterized. The record is from RefSeq and is a predicted model, not a curated record. The transcript has 2 exons. Lineage: Eukaryota; Viridiplantae; Streptophyta; Magnoliopsida; Zingiberales; Musaceae.
UAUUUUUGUUCCUUUCCUCACUGCUUCCAUUGUUAUUAAAACUAUUCUUGUUGCAAUCGUUUUUUAUGGUACUGACUAAAAUAUACUUUCUUCAUUUACCUAUUACUUCUCGAUUGGAGUAAUUUCUCUUACAGUAAUAAUUCUCGUGAAGAGUUUGGAUUGGAUAGCCACAAAGGCCAAUGCUCUUGCGAAGACUAAGGCAAAUGUUGAAACUGAAACGUAGUGUGAGUCCGAGUAAGCACCAUAUAAUCAGUGAGGAUGAGUUUUUUUUUUCUACGGGCUAACAUUUUUGUUUGAGGUACAUUCAAAAUGUGGGUUUUUUUUUUCUUUUUGUUAGUUAUAUUUAGGUUCUCCUUCAGGAUGAGCCACCUUUGGAAGAUACUGGUUGUUCUGCAGUCAUUCAACUGCUCUAAUUGGGUUGUUCCUGCAAAGUAAUUCAUUUAAAGUCUUGGUAUGAAAAUGGCUUCAGUCUAAUAAAGUUGUAUCAGGC